AUAUAUCUGGAAUGCUCGAUAAUUCCUGUUUAUUUUGAACCUACAUUUACUUUAAACGGGAUUCCUACAGCGUAGUAAUAUGUCAGGCCUCCGAUUGCAGUGGAAGACAAAAAAACUAUGUGCGGUUGCCCACCUAGCUUUGCUAGGAGUCAAAAGGCAGGAACCGGCAUUCUGGAUAUAUA
RNAcentral lists this non-coding RNA (182 nucleotides) under Lachnospiraceae bacterium. Its description in RNAcentral is "6S RNA". It matches the Rfam family "6S / SsrS RNA". Rfam says of the family: E. coli 6S RNA was the first non coding RNA to be sequenced, but its function was unknown until recently. It consists of 184 nucleotides that fold into an extended hairpin structure with a large single-stranded internal bulge. The record is from RNAcentral. Lineage: Bacteria; Bacillati; Bacillota; Clostridia; Lachnospirales; Lachnospiraceae.